This 546-nucleotide ribosomal RNA is filed under the name uncultured bacterium. RNAcentral describes it as "bacterial SSU rRNA". It matches the Rfam family "Bacterial small subunit ribosomal RNA", at positions 355 to 896 of the family's 1533-position model. The record is from RNAcentral.
UGGGGAAUAUUGCGCAAUGGGGGGAACCCUGACGCAGCCAUGCCGCGUGAAUGAAGAAGGCCUUAGGGUUGUAAAGUUCUUUCGGUAUUGAGGAAGGUUGAUGUGUUAAUAGCACAUCAAAUUGACGUUAAAUACAGAAGAAGCACCGGCUAACUCCGUGCCAGCAGCCGCGGUAAUACGGAGGGUGCGAGCGUUAAUCGGAAUAACUGGGCGUAAGGGCACGCAGGCGGUUAUUUAAGUGAGGUGUGAAAGCCCCGGGCUUAACCUGGGAAUUGCAUUUCAGACUGGGUAACUAGAGUACUUUAGGGAGGGGUAGAAUUCCACGUGUAGCGGUGAAAUGCGUAGAGAUGUGGAGGAAUACCGAAGGCGAAGGCAGCCCCUUGGGAAUGUACUGACGCUCAUGUGCGAAAGCGUGGGGAGCAAACAGGAUUAGAUAUCCUGGUAGUCCACGCUGUAAACGCUGUCGAUUUGGGGGUUGGGGUUUAACUCUGGCGCCCGUAGCUAACGUGAUAAAUCGACCGCCUGGGGAGUACGGCCGCAAGGUUA